Molecule: ribosomal RNA, 670 nt
Filed under: Zygaena ginnereissi
Lineage: Eukaryota; Metazoa; Arthropoda; Insecta; Lepidoptera; Zygaenidae
Description: Zygaena rubricollis ginnereissi partial 16S ribosomal RNA
Rfam family: Bacterial large subunit ribosomal RNA (bases 389-547)
Source: RNAcentral
GUCUUUUUGAAAUAAUUUAAAGUCUAAUCUGCCCACUGAUAGUUAUAUUAAAGGGCUGCAGUAUUUUGACUGUACAAAGGUAGCAUAAUCAUUAGUCUCUUAAUUGGUGACUUGUAUGAAUGAUUGGAUGAAAUAUAAGCUGUUUCUUAUUUAUUUAUAGAAUUUAAUUUUUUCAUUAAAAAGUGAAAAUAAAUUUAAAAGACGAGAAGACCCCAUAGAGUUUUAUAUAUGAAAUAAUUUAAUAAUUAUGUUUAAGAGAAUUAAUUAAAAUUAUUUAUUAUAUUUUAUUGGGGUGAUAAAAAAAUUAAAAAAACUUUUUUAUAAUUUUUCCAUUAAUAAGUGAAUAAAUGAUCCAUUAUUAAUGAUUAAAAGAAAAAAUUACCUUGGGGAUAACAGCGUAAUUUUUUCUUUUAGUUCAAAUAGGAGAAAGAGUUUGCGACCUCGAUGUUGGAUUAAGAUAAAAUUUAAAUGCAAAAGUUUAAAAUUUUGAUCUGUUCGAUCAUUAAAAUCUUACAUGAUCUGAGUUCAAACCGGUGUAAGCCAGGUUGGUUUCUAUCUUUAAAUAAAUUAAAUAUUUUAGUACGAAAGGAUUGAAUAUUUAAAAUAAUUUUUAAUUUUAGAAUUUUAUUAAUUUGAUUAUAUAAUUAAAAUUUUUAUUUUAUUAAUAUAU